AUUAAAGUAGCAAAACCAGGCCCUGCAAUAAGACUUAAAACCUUAAGACGGGUGUUCAAAUCACCCCUUUAAUA
RNAcentral lists this transfer RNA (74 nucleotides) under Calamaria septentrionalis (Hong Kong dwarf snake). RNAcentral's name for it is "tRNA-Leu". It matches the Rfam family "tRNA". Rfam says of the family: Transfer RNA (tRNA) molecules are approximately 80 nucleotides in length. Their secondary structure includes four short double-helical elements and three loops (D, anti-codon, and T loops). The record is from RNAcentral. Lineage: Eukaryota; Metazoa; Chordata; Lepidosauria; Squamata; Calamariidae.